RNAcentral lists this ribosomal RNA (465 nucleotides) under uncultured bacterium. Its description in RNAcentral is "partial 16S ribosomal RNA". It matches the Rfam family "Bacterial small subunit ribosomal RNA", at positions 28 to 507 of the family's 1533-position model. The record is from RNAcentral.
GACGAACGCUGGCGGCGUGCUUAACACAUGCAAGUCGAACGGAAAGGCCCUGCUUGCAGGGUACUCGAGUGGCGAACGGGUGAGUAACACGUGGGUGAUCUGCCCUGCACUUCGGGAUAAGCCUGGGAAACUGGGUCUAAUACCGGAUAGGAGCCAUUUUUAGUGUGAUGGUUGGAAAGUUUUUUCGGUGUAGGAUGAGCUCGCGGCCUAUCAGCUUGUUGGUGGGGUAAUGGCCUACCAAGGCGGCGACGGGGAGCCGGCCUGAGAGGGUGGACGGCCACAUUGAGACUGGGAUACGGCCCAGACUCCUACGGGAGGCAGCAGUGGGGAAUAUUGCACAAGGGGCGCAAGCCUGAUGCAGCGACGCCGCGUGGGGGAUGACGGCCUUCGGGUUGUAAACGCCUUUCGCUAGGGACGAAGCUUUUUGUGACGGUACCUAGAUAAGAAGCACCGGCUAACUACGUG